This 788-nucleotide ribosomal RNA is filed under the name uncultured bacterium. RNAcentral describes it as "bacterial SSU rRNA". It matches the Rfam family "Bacterial small subunit ribosomal RNA", at positions 74 to 851 of the family's 1533-position model. The record is from RNAcentral.
GUCUCUUCGGGGAUGAUUAAACCGGCGCACGGGUGAGUAACACGUGAGUGACCUGCCUUUUAGACUGGAACAACUUACCGAAAGGUGAGCUAAUGCCGGAUGAGUUAUAUAAGUGCAUGUUUAUAUAGGAAAAGUUGGGGAGACCUGACGCUGAAAGAUGGACUCGCGUCCCAUUAGCUAGUUGGUAGGGUAAUGGCCUACCAAGGCGACGAUGGGUAGCCGGCCUGAGAGGGUGGCCGGCCACACUGGGACUGAGACACGGCCCAGACUCCUACGGGAGGCAGCAGUGGGGAAUUUUGCGCAAUGCUCGUAAGAGUGACGCAGCGACGCCGCGUGAAUGACGAAGGCCUUCGGGUCGUAAAGUUCUUUCGACAGGGAAGAAAAUGCCUAUAAGUAACUGUGUAUGUAUUGACGGUACCUGUAUAAGCAGCCCCGGCUAACUCCGUGCCAGCAGCCGCGGUAAUACGGAGGGGGCGAGCGUUGUUCGGAGUGACUGGGCGUAAAGAGCACGUAGGCGGUGUUGUAAGUCAUUAGUCAAAGACUAGAGCUCAACUUUAGUAAGGCUAGUGAUACUAUAAUACUAGAGUAUCAGAGAGGAUUGCAGAAUUCCUGGUGUAGCGGUGAAAUGCGUAGAUAUCAGGAGGAAUACCGUUAGCGAAGGCGGCAAUCUGGCUGGAAACUGACGCUGAGGUGCGAAAGCGUGGGUAGCAAACAGGAUUAGAUACCCUGGUAGUCCACGCUGUAAACGAUGGAUGCUAGGUGUUGGGCUUUUAAGUUCAGUGCCGCAG